AAUCAACGCUGGCGGCGUGCCUCAGACAUGCAAGUCGAACGAUUAAGACUCCCUUCGGGGAGUGCAUAAAGUGGCGCACGGGUGAGUAACACGUAAGUAAUCUACCCUCGGGGUGGGGAAUAACGUCCGGAAACGGACGCUAAUACCGCAUAAUGCAGCGGCACCGCAAGGUGACAGUUGUUAAAGAUUUAUUGCCUGGGGGAGGAGCUUGCGGCAGAUUAGCUUGUUGGUAAGGAACGGCUUACCAAGGCUACGAUCUGUAUCCGGUCUAAGAGGACGGUCGGACACACUGACACUGAAUAACGGGUCAGACUCCUACGGGAGGCAGCAGUCGGGAAUUUUGGGCAA
This 348-nucleotide ribosomal RNA is filed under the name uncultured bacterium. RNAcentral describes it as "bacterial SSU rRNA". It matches the Rfam family "Bacterial small subunit ribosomal RNA", at positions 32 to 371 of the family's 1533-position model. The record is from RNAcentral.